UACGUAGGGUGCAAGCGUUAUCCGGAUUUACUGGGUUUAAAGGGUGCGUAGGUGGGUCUGUAAGUCAGUGGUGAAAUCUUCAAGCUUAACUUGGAAACUGCCAUUGAUACUAUAGGUCUUGAAUUAUCUGGAGGUGAGCGGAAUAUGUCAUGUAGCGGUGAAAUGCUUAGAUAUGACAUAGAACACCAAUUGCGAAGGCAGCUCACUACGGAUUGAUUGACACUGAGGCGCGAAAGCGUGGGGAGCAAACAGG
RNAcentral lists this ribosomal RNA (253 nucleotides) under uncultured bacterium. Its description in RNAcentral is "partial 16S ribosomal RNA". It matches the Rfam family "Bacterial small subunit ribosomal RNA", at positions 524 to 776 of the family's 1533-position model. The record is from RNAcentral.